GCCUAACUCACCUGAGAACCCUCUCUCUCGCUGCUCAUGUCUCCUUAUAAUCAAGUCCAGGCAUUUCUCCCCGCUGUCCGCCUCCUGAAGCUCUUCCCUCUUCUCCAUCUCACACGUCUCCAUCACCCCUCCUCGGGACUAUUCCAGGUGCCCAGGCCAAAGCCUACCAGGGGGCCAGAGAGAAGUGGAGGACUGGAAGUUCUGGCAAGUUCUACCUGGAAGCAGGGGCCAAGAAGCACCUACCCAUGGGGGCCAGUGUCUGGCAGGUCCUUGGAGGCUGCUGUGUUCUCACGCCUCACCACCAGGCCCCAAGACUGCUGUAGAUUCGCACUGUUGGAGUUCACCUUCGGUUUUCCACUUCUCUCAACUUGUGAAGCCGGGACAGAAUAUCACCUUUCAGGAGGCGUGCUGCCUCAUUUGGAGCUGUUAAGAUACGAGAAGCAAAAGCUUAAUUGAUGGAGAGUGACAAGAACUCAGUCCCAUGCCACCCCUAAAAUGAAAAGGCACACGAGGCUGGAAAAUGCAGCCUAACUGCGCGUCCAAGGGGAAGAGGAUCCAGGUGUGGUUAGUAGCUGUCCAAUAUCUUCCCAGCACGUAUAAAGAAUAUACAGAAGCUCGAAUGACUGUUGAGGGAAUAGAAGAUGGAACUUGAGAGGUGGGAAGAUCAGCCCUGAGCUAACAUCUGCUGCCAAUCCUCCUCUUUUUGCUGACGAAGACUGGUCCUGAGCUAACAUCCAUGCCCAUCUUCCUCUACUUUAUAUGUGGGAUACCUACCACAGCAUGGUGUGCCAAGUGGUGCCAUGUCUGCACCUGGGAUCCGAACUAGGGAACCCUGGGCCGCGGAAGUGGAACGUGCGCACUUAACUGCUGUGCCACUAGGCCAGCCCUCUUUUUAUCUUUUUUGUGUGGUCUGAUUUGAUAUUUAAAAAAUCAAUUAUUAAAUUUAUCAGUCUUUUGUUUGAUGGUUUCUGCCUUAGUGUCAUAUUUGGGAGAACCUUCUCUCGGACUUGAUUAUUCACUUAGAUUUUCAUUUAAAACUUGCUUUGUUUUUUACAUUAAAAAACUAGGAUGGCAUAUCUACUGUUUUCCCCUUCCAUGCUCGUGGCAGAGAUUGCUAAUUGAUUAUGUCACUCAUUCUUAGUGAGCUGCCAAGUCAGCCGCAAAUUCUUUUCAACAUCAUCUUUUGGGCCUCCACUACCAAACAAUAAAGUUCUGUGUAGCAUAGAAAUCAUUUGGCAUCCUUGAUUUAUAGUAUUUUUCAAAAAUCUAUUCCUACAAGCCACCUUAAAUAAUUUCUUGGACAAGAUGGAGCAUAAAUAAAUAAAUAGAGAUAGACUGGU
Molecule: long non-coding RNA, 1340 nt
Filed under: Equus asinus (donkey)
Lineage: Eukaryota; Metazoa; Chordata; Mammalia; Perissodactyla; Equidae
Description: lncRNA (ENSEASG00005030244.1)
Source: RNAcentral